Molecule: long non-coding RNA, 1007 nt
Filed under: Olea europaea subsp. europaea
Lineage: Eukaryota; Viridiplantae; Streptophyta; Magnoliopsida; Lamiales; Oleaceae
Source: RNAcentral
AAAAUCCCUAAUAAAACAAGAGUAAAUUACAUUGGGUGUCAAAAUUUCACUUUGCAUUAUAAAAAAUGUCACCUUUUUAAAACCAUAUCAAAAAUGUCAUAUUUGGACUGUUUUGCCCCGUUGAAUAAUUUUAAUACUUUAUAUAUCCUUCAUUAAAUGUGAUAUGACUAGUCCAUUAAAAAUUGUAGAAAAACCUGUGACAUGUCAGGGUUUGGGGUUUAUUCAAUGUUGAAAACAUAAAAUGAAAAAAAGGAGGAGGUGAAACGAGAAGAAAGAAACCGACUCUCACGCACUCCUUUUCUCUCACGCACUCCCCUCUCUCACUAGAAUUGCCCCCCUCCCACCCGGUGACGACCACCGUGACGUCCACCGCCGACGAUUAUUUUUCAGAAACUUGAGGUAUCUACUACAGAUUUCUGUAGGGGAGGGAAUGAAACCAACGGCAUCAUCGGCUUGUCGACUCAAAGAAGAACCCUCUCUUCGCCAUCCACAAAAAGACCAUCUCCAGCCGCCUUCGUAAAUACGGUAUGUAUAUAUGUAUAUUUGUAGUAUGGGUAGAUGUGUGUGUUUUUGGUCUACGUAUUGUUAUUGUUCAUUUAGGUUUGGAUCUUUGACUGUAAUUUCAAGCUAGUCAACACCCUCAUUGUUGUGUAUCUGAAAUCUAUAUGAGCCCCUUUUCGUUUCUGGGGCACUGUUACUGAUUUUAAACUUUUGAUUUUUGGUUGUAAAGAGUUCCAUGGGUGUAUAAAAUUCUAGGUAAUUAAAAGAAGGCUCUUUCUAUUUUGCAAAUAAAUGCUGAUGCAUUUUUGGAGAAAUAAUUUAAACUUUUAGUUUUCGCUAUGUUUGCUUGUUCUCUUGCAUAUCUUUGGAGAAAUAAUUUUAUGUGUUGAUUAAGUAGAGUAGAAAAUCCUCCGCCUCUUCCACUUUCAAAACUCGGUCUAGUUGUUCAGUUAUUGGGUUUCGAAAGUCUCUUUGAGAAAAGGGAAAAUUACCAAACGGUGUCCCGA